RNAcentral lists this ribosomal RNA (326 nucleotides) under uncultured eukaryote. RNAcentral's name for it is "partial 18S ribosomal RNA". It matches the Rfam family "Eukaryotic small subunit ribosomal RNA", at positions 1470 to 1796 of the family's 1831-position model. The record is from RNAcentral.
CCCCUAGAUGUUCUGGGCUGCACGCGCGCUACACUGAUGCACUCAACGAGUUUACGACCUUGCCCGAUAGGGUUGGGUAAUCUUUUUAAAAUGCAUCGUGAUGGGGAUAGAUUAUUGCAAUUAUUAAUCUUCAACGAGGAAUUCCUAGUAAGCGCGAGUCAUCAGCUCGUGCUGAUUACGUCCCUGCCCUUUGUACACACCGCCCGUCGCUCCUACCGAUUGAGUGCUCAGGUGAAUAAUUCGGACUGCAGCAAUGUUUGGAUCCCGAACGUUGCAGCGGAAAGUUUAGUGAACCUUAUCACUUAGAGGAAGGAGAAGUCGUAACA